ACUCGGAGAAUUAAAAUUGGGAGGAGAGAAACUGGGACUUUUCUUUCCCCUCCUCUGCCUCCCUCCCCCCCCUCUCCCUUUGAAGCUGAGGGGAGGGCGACUGCCCCGGGACACUGCUAAAAAAAAAUAGAGGCUGAGAGAGAUCAAAAACCGGCUCCGCAGGUCCCAGAGGCGGCUUCUCGCCCCCGACACAUUCCCCGAACUGCGCGGCGGAGGCAAAGGCAAGGGGAGAGAAAGAGGAGGAGAAGGGGGGAAAACCUCCGUGUUCCCCCAUGCCGCCGGUGCCCCGUCCUGCUCCGGGACGGGAGGCAGAUUCCUGCUCCCUUCCCACCCUCCUUUCCUCUUCCCGUGCCUCCCUCCGUAGUUUCCAGCUCAACACGGAAUCACGCUGGGAUUUAGAGACAGCAGAAAACACGGAUCGCCGUGCGGUUGGUGUGAAAGGAGGCGGCUGAUUUACCACCCCCCACUUCCUUGGCCAGGAGCAGGGGCAUAUCUCAGCCUCCCGGGAUUGAAACCGGAGUCAUUUACUCCUGGAAGCGUCCUGCUCCAGCUACUUUAGAACUGUCCCUGCACCCCCAAAUAACCCCCCUUGUCCACAGAGCCAUCCCUCCAGGUGUAACCCGGCACGGCCGCCUCGCACAGUGCUUCACGUUUACCAUCCCAUGCUCCCAAAUCCAGGUUGUACGAGCAUCGUGGUGAAAUCUGCGCGAUUUCUCUCUGAGGAGGGGAAUAUUUCACCCCAAAUUCCCCUGAAGGGCCCAUGUAGGCAAUUACCGCCCUCUCCCAGUGCAGCGGAGGUGCUGCCUGCAUCCCGGGGGGGACCGGAGCCCUGUUUUCCCUGCAUUACCCCGCUCUCUCCCUGCCCCAGCAGGAAGCCCUUCCUCUUCUCUUUUUCACACUUGAAAUUAAAAACUAAACCUCAAACACUCGUGUCUGCAGUCAAAUUAAAGCAAAAUAAUAACAAUAAUAAUAAAAUCCCCGGGAUAAGGAAGCGUUUUGCCCCAGCCAGGAGCAAAGUGCCGGGAGGGAGGACGGACCUUCCUAAUGGAGUAAAACAAGCUGGGCCGGUGGUUGUUAAUUAUCCGGUUGCAUUCAAAUCCGUCACCCGGAGCCCGCUGCUUGUGUACUGAGAAGAGAAGCACAAAGAGAGCUAGCGUGAUCAAAUCAACAUCGCUGAGUAUGAACCGCGGGGAGAGCGCGGAAGAGCGGAAUCCCGCACGCACGGACAUCACUGCGCUCAUAGGGGCCUCGGGUCUGUACAUACAGAGGGAUCUGCACAUAGGCACAUCUCUGGAGGUCUUACAUUUCCAACCACAUCAGGACAGAGAUCCCAUCCUGCUGCGAUGGGGCUUGUAGCUGACAGCAGCAGGGACGGGCUGGGCGGCUUGGACAGUGCUGCAGCAUCAGGUCUGCCACGGAUGUGAAAGAGGAGGAGAAGAUGGCCCACGGUGAUAAGGUCCCAGGCAAUUUCUAUGGUGCCUCCUACUCUUCUCUGUCCAGACAGCUCCAGCGCUCCUCCGGGAUCUUAUCUCUCCCUAUUGCUGCACCUCUUCGGCCUCCCUCCUACAGUGUCCUGCUCAGCGUGGUGCAAAACACACUCCUAAUUGCACUGGCCUGGCCCAAAGCUCUGAUCCCAUCUGCCCUCUCUGACUCCCAUCACUGGCUUCACUGGUUUUAUCACCUAUUUCACUUACAUGUUUGAUGCCGCCUCUUCAAAGCCAGGCAGAGGUCAGCCCAGCCCCAGAUCCACCACUGUUUUUCCCUUUAUUUUCAGUUUGGGAAUUAAAAGUAAUAGUAAUUACCAGCCUUGAAAGGUUUAGCUUCUUCUUUUAGAUAUGUGGAGCCACUGAAACAAUUGGGAAGUCUGUGAGUCCAACCUCUGCAAGUGCAUUUAGUCCUGAGCUUGGAGAUCCACCGAGAGGAACGCAUCUCCCAAGAGCAAAGCAUCACUUGGAGACAGCCACAGCGAUUUCCAAAACAGCCCAUGUGCUUGUUUGCAGAGUUUCUGUUUUGCAAGGUAUUCAAAUAGUCAGAGACAAACAGGAGUUGGGCUUAAUCUGCCCAAUCUGCCAUUUAUCUGAAGAAUCACUUUCCCAUCACAACGCAACCACCACCAUGGAGGGCGAAGCAGUCGGUCCAGCUGACACAGGAGAGGGUGGUUUAUGACAGGGUGAAGUGACUCCUCUGCUGAGCACGGAUUUAGCAGAGGUGUUUGAGAACAGCAGUGCCCUGGAUCCUCAGUGGCUGGUGUUGAAGACCUACCACAUCCACCCCUUCGAGCGGAUGGGCAGCAAGAGCGAGCCUUGCUCCAUUAGAACAGCAUCACAAAGGGGGGACCUGAGAGGGACCGACCACGCAGGCAAGGUCUUGCUGUCCAGAGGAUGCACUGCCUCACGGCACUUUUCACUCUAUUCCCAAACCACAUUAAGCCUUUCUGAAUAAAAGCCAAUUUCCCUUUUCCCCCUUCCCUCGCCACCCAGCAUUCUGCCUGCCCUUGCACCACUCUUCCUAUGGAAAGUCACCGGCCUGUCUGGCCUGAUGGUCUAAAAGAAGGUGGAAAAAUGCAUUUCUCACAAUUUCAGCUCAUAAGGAGUGUUCCCAGCUCUCGCAGGGAUGCUCCAGGCCAGGAAACACAGAGGGAUAUUUACUUGUGAUGCAGCGCUGGGAUGGUGCUGGGAUUUUUGAGCCAAGUGU
This is a long non-coding RNA of Pezoporus occidentalis (night parrot), 2694 nucleotides long. RefSeq lists it as uncharacterized. The transcript has 4 exons. Lineage: Eukaryota; Metazoa; Chordata; Aves; Psittaciformes; Psittacidae. The record is from RefSeq and is a predicted model, not a curated record.